This is a long non-coding RNA of Lepisosteus oculatus (spotted gar), 1158 nucleotides long. RefSeq lists it as uncharacterized. The record is from RefSeq and is a predicted model, not a curated record. Lineage: Eukaryota; Metazoa; Chordata; Actinopteri; Semionotiformes; Lepisosteidae.
CUGAGCAGCUCAGAGCUCUCGGGACACGACGGACUGAAGGCGCUGGUGCAGGAAGAGGACCUGGACUGUCCACAGCUCGCCACGAGAGGGUCAGAGGAGCACCAUGGGUUGCAACAGCAGUAAGAGUGGAGAGGCCAUCGACCCUGCCAAAAAACCUGGGGAAAAGGCAGAAGACGAGGGCGCCGAUGGAGAGCCUGACGCAGAUAGCGCACCGGCGGCCGAGGGCAAUGGGAAUGGGGCAGAAGGAGACACGAGCAGCUGAAAAUCAGCCCCCGCUAGACUGUGCCCUCCCAUCAGCUCUCCUCAAAAAUGAACUCCUGUGCAAAAUGGAUAUCACUGGCCUUGGAGAAGAAAACUUCUCCAGUGGCUGCCCUCAGAUGCCAGAGAUAGGAGUUCGGCUCUGUUUCUUCUUCAGUUAGUGUCUUCAUGACCAACCUGUAAAUAUGAUCACUACCACUACCGAGAUUUAUCGGCAAUACUUCUCUUCAAAGACUCCACCGUGUGAAAGUCUAGCACAGUGUAGCUGUAUAGUUGUACUAGGAGGUAUGUAGGCUAAAGAGCUGCUUUCUUUUGUUGGGUCAAUAAACUGUGGAAAAGGACCACACCCCCAGAAAAAAAGGGUACAGUGCCUUGUGUAUGAAUUGUAAGUUAAUGUUUUGUGUUGUGUUGUUGAAUUGAAUGUUUAUGCUUAUUUUUAUACCAAAAUGCCAAGGUAAUACCUGUAUUUGAUGUUUUUAAAGCAUAAAAAGAGAUGUAAGAGAUGCAAAAAAACAUCCAGGAAAUUUUGAUCAAAUCAAAAUUCUCAGCAAUAUGGUGUUUAAACUUAAAACACCCUGUUCUGUUCAGGGCCUCUCAGUCCUCUAUGCAGCUUCAGUAGUUGCAAAGACAGUAUAAAACAUGUCACUUUACAUGGACUCCUUUAUUUUCUUUUUAGAAUAUUUAAGAAUAUUUUCGGAAACAGCCUGAGUUAAAGUUUAUCUGAACUAAAUAUUUCCAGCUCAUGAAAGCUCUUAUUGUUCUGAUGAGAAACCUCUUCCUAUUGGCUGUGCCUCAGCUGAGUGACUGGAUGGAGCUUAGCCAUGUUGUUGUCUUGGCUCUGCCAGUAUCCUGUUUGUCCACUCCUGUUUAAAAUAAAGUCUGUCUGAACUGUGUGCUCUU